RNAcentral lists this ribosomal RNA (486 nucleotides) under uncultured bacterium. Its description in RNAcentral is "partial 16S ribosomal RNA". It matches the Rfam family "Bacterial small subunit ribosomal RNA", at positions 28 to 523 of the family's 1533-position model. The record is from RNAcentral.
GACGAACGCUGGCGGCGUGCUUAACACAUGCAAGUCGAACGCUGAAGCACCAGCUUGCUGGUGUGGAUGAGUGGCGAACGGGUGAGUAAUACGUGAGUAACCUGUCCUUGACUCUGGGAUAAGCCCGGGAAACUGGGUCUAAUACUGGAUGCUACAUGUCACCGCAUGGUGGUGUGUGGAAAGGGUUUACUGGUCUUGGAUGGGCUCACGGCCUAUCAGCUUGUUGGUGAGGUAAUGGCUCACCAAGGCGACGACGGGUAGCCGGCCUGAGAGGGUGACCGGCCACACUGGGACUGAGACACGGCCCAGACUCCUACGGGGGGCAGCAGUGGGGAAUAAUGCACAAUGGGCGAAAGCCUGAUGCAGCGACGCCGCGUGAGGGAUGACGGCCUUCGGGUUGUAAACCUCUUUCAGCAGGGAAGAAGCCACAAGUGACGGUACCUGCAGAAGAAGCGCCGGCUAACUACGUGCCAGCAGCCGCCGUAA